CGAGCACGCCACCCGUUCACAUACCAACCAACUGCCAUCAAAUACCUGGGGACCAUUCUCCCAGCGGACCUCACACAAACCUACAGCCUAAACUACACGCCCCUAUUAGAAACUGCCACACAAGACCUAGACAAAUGGAAAGAUUUAUCAAUCUCAUGGAUAGGCAGACUGACCUCCAUAAAAAUGAAUCUUCUCCCAAGAUUUUUAUACCUUUUCCAAAC
This is a non-coding RNA of Pelobates cultripes (western spadefoot toad), 221 nucleotides long. The record is from the annotation of a GenBank genome assembly. Lineage: Eukaryota; Metazoa; Chordata; Amphibia; Anura; Pelobatidae.